CUGCACUGGAAUCUAAGAUAAAGUACAUCUAUUUCAUCCCCAUCUCUCCUCUUCACCAACCCCUGUCUCCUUCAUCCUAAAGACUCUAGGGUUGAAACUUCAUGUGAGGUCUAAUCUAGUGUGAAUGCCAUAACAAAGGGCAGUCCAGCUUAUCAUGGUGUUAAUUAUUCUAGUUGUUCUUACAAAUUAGAGGCAUACCUGCAUGUGGGCCUCAUGGUACAAUGGAAAAAAGUCUCAGGACAGGAAGUAUGUUGACUGUGCAAAUAGCUAUAGGACCUUAACCAAGUCACUUCUCUGGUCCUUAGUUUACUUACUUGAAGUCUAAGUAAGUAAAACCUGAAAUCCAGUUUUAAAACCUGAAAUACCUUAAGCCUCUCGGUUAUCAUUGUAACCCUGACCACUGCUGUUUGUUCCAGAAAAUCCAAAGCCAAAGGAACCUGAAAACAUCAAUCAAACUCAAACUCCAGAGACCUGCUAUGAGCCCCAAGGUUAGUUGAAACCAAAGGGCCAACUUCAGAAUUGAGGUUAAAGCAAACUCUGUCAUUGUCAGAUGGGGCCCAAAAUCAUUCUAUUUCAAAAGAAAACAAAAACCAUACCUGAGCCCAGUUGAUUCCCUCUGACUCUCUAAUCAGAGUUUGCCUGGCUGCAAGCAUGGGUUUUUCCAAAGCUUGCCUUACUGGAUGUGAAUAGCAGCCUUAGGUCUCUGAAGGCUAUCUGGCACCAAGCUGGGCUUCAGACCAGGAAGAAUGAUGGUGAUUCAGGGCAGGCUGGUUUCGGUGCUGUGGGUCCAAUUUCUGGAAGGAAAUUUAGUCUCUUGCUGAAGCCACCAUCUUCAUUCUCAUUCAAUUGCAGUGCAAGCCGGGAAGGUGAACAUGAUGUCCCUUGCAGUGCUGGGGCUCCGAAUGCUGUUUGCCAAGAGUGUUGCCAUCAAUUUUCUCUUGACUGCCAAGUUAUUUUUCUUUUAAGGCUGACCGGCAUGAGAAGGCUACACGCCCUGAAAGAAAUCAAAAGCCUACAGAGGUGCUAUCUCCUAGGCUUUCAACCUCCUGGUGGUUUCAGUUGACCUGUCCCAGCCUUGCUUAAAUGGCUGUUUCCCAAACCAGUUUUCCUUUAAAGGCAACAAACCCAGCUUAUCCUUCAGCCUGAUGAAAGACAGAAGUCCUGGAGAGUGGGGGCUUAUGGUCCCAACUGUUUUACAUGCUGCUUUAUAAAAGGAUAUAGAGAUAUGAAGGUAUAUAGGACACAUUUUUUUUCCUACAACUGACACACUUUGAAAAUGGUGUUUUGUUCCUUUGACAUUCUUUGCCUCCAGAAGUAGAAAGCAGGAGCCAUCGGGUUCCUAGCUCCAUUCUCCAAGAGGAAAAUAGAUCCUGGGCUUCUACCGAAACAUAAAAGGCUCUGCUCAACCCAGCACUAGGUUUGCCCCAAACUAGCGUUCUCAUCCACAAAGGCACUUUCUGCUUUUCCUAGUAUUUGACAAACAAAACUACAUUUGACUUCCUAACACUCUCUGCCCAGGCAAUGGGGUUUGUCCAAUCUCAUCUAAAUACUCUCAGAGUUAUUAGCAGAGAUCAGAGUAAAAUGCAGAGGAAAUGGGUUUCUCUCUAUUAAUUGAUUUAGCGAACAUGAAUUACUCCAAGUUCUAGGCAUUGUACUGAGGGUGCAAAAAUACAUAAGACGUGGGUCUUGCUUUCAAGCAACUCAUUGUGCAAGUGUUCUGGGAGGGAGGGACAGGAAUGAGACCCCGAGAUUUCCCCUGUAAGAACAGUGUCUUCAUGACCCCCUGCCUGCCCAUCCAUGCCCAGGAAGUUUGAAGGCACUGGACCUUUGGUAUUGAUGGUUUUCUGCCAUUCUUCUUUGUCUCUAUUGCAUGUAUUAAAGUGCAUUGUGUGUGCCUUGCUUCUGGCUUUCCUCAUUGCGGACCAUCGCAGGGGGUAAGGGGAGCUGUGAAUUCACUGGUAGCCAGACAAAAACCACACUGAGUUUAUAGGUCACACCACGGCUUCCUGGGCCCCCAGCCUGCAGGCUCCUGCCUCGGGGACCCACCCCUGGGUUUCCUGCUACUCCAACAACAUCAGCGUCCCUGGUGUGGCCUCUGAGCUCUGCUCCUCCCACCUCAGCAAGGCCAGCUUUUUCCGGGUGCACAAACCCAGGUAGCAAAUGUCUAGCAACCGAGCACUGUGGGUUCCUCAGCACUGAUGUGGGCUGUCAGGCGGGGGCUCAUGAGGUUACAAGUGAAAGAGCAACGUUCAUCCACAACUGCCCCAUCUUUGCCAUCUGCAGACUCCCAUGUCACGUCCUCACAACCCAAACCAAAGAAAGGAGGCAGUGGCAUUCUGAGUCAAUAAGUUUAGGACAAUCUAGAUGGAUAAGCCAGGUCCAUCCAGGGGAAAACUAUUAAAAGAUUCCACACAUCUUCACCUCAUGUGCAUCAAGAAUGCCUGUUUCCAAAACAUUCCCAUCUGUUACCUUGGGCCAUUCUUAAGAAUGUAUCUCUGAAGUUGCUAAGAACAAAACAACACAUCCUCAUUUUUCAGAUGGAAAAAAAUAUGUCCCCCAGAAAAGGUAUGUACCUUGUUCAAGGUUAUUCAGAGAGGCAGCGAUAUUUCUGGGAGCAGAACAAAGUUAUCAGGAGUGCCAGCCCCAAGUUCCUUCUACAAGAGCACAGCACAUCCCUGAGACAGGGAAGAGGGCUUGUUUUGAAGUUCAGCUAGGCUGAAC
Long non-coding RNA from Delphinapterus leucas (beluga whale), 2721 nucleotides. Lineage: Eukaryota; Metazoa; Chordata; Mammalia; Artiodactyla; Monodontidae. The record is from Ensembl.